Long non-coding RNA from Platichthys flesus (European flounder), 825 nucleotides. RefSeq lists it as uncharacterized. The record is from RefSeq and is a predicted model, not a curated record. NCBI's taxonomy places the organism in Eukaryota, Metazoa, Chordata, Actinopteri, Pleuronectiformes, Pleuronectidae. The transcript has 2 exons.
GCCAGAAAGUGAAUGUAGUCUUCAUAGUGACCACAUCACACGCUAUAGAAGCAGCAUUGUCACAGAUUCCAAACAGUUUUACAAAUAGUUUCUAUCAACUUGGACUGAAUGUAAGUACAAAUCAAGUGGUCUGGACAAUUGAGGGUAGUUAAUCAUCUUUUAACCACUUGUUCAUAAUGGUGUAGUGACCACGUAUUACAUUUUUAGAUCUAGACGAGAAAAACAUUUUUGCACCAUUUUAUCAAAGUUGCUACUGACUUGUAGUUGGUCAAACACCGUGUAACAUACAUGUCUAUUGAUAAUCAUUAGUUCUGUGCUGUGUUGAAUUCCUGUCUUGUGUUGACCUUUGGACCUGAGGGAACACACAUACUCUCUCUGUAUUUAUUCCUGUCUUCAUAGAUAACAUGACAGUGGUCUCCUUCACUCAUCGGCACCUGGGAUUAAAAGGCUGUCAUGUGACUUGGGUGAAGACUAAUUGUGUUUGCCUGAAAGCAGACUCCUCCUCUCACUGAUGGAGCGCAGGCGCGUGGACUGCGUUAUAGUGACUAUUCCUGUCAAGAGAGCUAAAACAGAAGAAGAACUCCUCUCCGUAUGCCAAAGAUAAGUUGGUACACGAGGCGUGUGCUGAGGGGCUGGGAAACCUGCGUCACCAUCAUUCUGCCACUCUAGUCAGAGAAGACAUCCUUUUUACUUGUUCUUUUUGUAUGCAAUGUUUUAGUUUUUGUCUUUCAAGGUCUGUUAUCGAAGCAUUCAUUCGAUGUUUGAGUUUAAUCUUUGACAGCAGUUGGGGGGUUGUGCAUGAUAGCUGCAGUUUGUUGAAGCUAA